CGUCCCUGUCUCCCCUGACACUCGUUCCUCCAGAAGCCCGGUAAACCCCGUCCUUACGAGCCCCGCCCCUAGCUCUUCUACUACGGAGGGGAACUGCAGAGCCAGAAGAGCACGGAGCAGCAACUCGCAGCCCAAUUGGUGACGCUGCAGAAUGAACUGGAGCUGGCGGAGACCAAAUGCGCCUUGCAGGAGGAGAAGCUGCAGCAGGACGCGCUGCAGACAGCGGAGGCCUGGGCCAUAUUCCAGGAGCAGACCGUAGUCCUGCAGGUGCGGCCCCACUCAGACGCCAAGGUGCCUCCCGCCUCUCCUCCCCCAGACCUGGGGCGGUGUGACGGGCAGCUUCGCAGAGUGCAGUACAGCACCGAGUCGCUCAUGGAGGAGAUGGCCAGGGCGGACCGAGAGACGCGGCUGUUCGGCGGUCCUCGCGCGCUGGCCAUCAGGUGAGCAGGGCGGUGGGCGCGGCCGC
This 466-nucleotide long non-coding RNA is filed under the name Homo sapiens (human). Its description in RNAcentral is "non-protein coding lnc-SERPIND1-1:55". The record is from RNAcentral. Lineage: Eukaryota; Metazoa; Chordata; Mammalia; Primates; Hominidae.